GCUCAAACACAUUCAGACAUGAAAAAUAUUCCGUUGACAUGGACCAGUCAGACAUCAAACAUGUCUACAUUGAAGGCUCUUCUAAGAAAGCUGACCAAUACGAAGCCUGUGAUUGGCUGGUAUUUUUGCAUGUGGUUGUGUUUACGUCCGAGAUACACCGAUAAUGCUGACACAUAUUUUCCACUGACGUGGACCAAUCAGACCUCGACACAGACAUCCGCUUCAAAGACCCUCACCAUCGUCAGCCCCCCAGAACCAGUCUCUGAGAUGGAGAGGUCAAGAGCUGUUCGCAUCGCUCUCGUCUGUGCUUUGUUCUCCAGGAUCUCUGGAGCAGAAGUGGAGAUGAGGGUCAGACAAGGAGACGACGUGACUCUCUACAGCGACUGUGUUUGGAAGAGUGGAUUUAAUAUAGUUUGGUUUAGAAACUCCUCAUGUGAGCAUCGACCUCCUCUCAUGAUAUCAACUCUAGAUUUGAUACGUGGUGCUGAUCCACGUUACUCUGCUGUGUGGAAUCCCUCCAGCAAAACUCAUGAUCUGUUGGUGAAGAACGUCUCUGAUUCAGAUGUGGGUCUGUACUACUGCGCUGUGUAUGAGAAAAACAUCACCAAAGACGAAAAGGGAGUUUUACACUCUGAAGUUAUUUAUCAUUACGGGAAAAGAACCACUCGACUCUCUCUCCUUGGUCCUUGUACUGAUCUCCCCCAGACCCCCUCAACCCCUCCUGUCUCAGACUGCAGCGUCUGCUGGAAGCUGCUGGUCAGUGUGUGUCCUGUGUGUGUUCUCCUCUCCUCCACCUGUCUGUACUGCAUCUACAGACACACAAAGAAAGGUCCUGAAGAUGGAAGAGAACUCCUGUCUGGAACUGUGUUUCAGGUGGGCUGUGUUGAGGAGCAUCCCUGUGAGAGGAGCAUGAAUGGAGAGUCCUGUCUACACACUGAAGUCUGUUACACGUCUCUGAAAUCUGGCCUCAAAUCAGACUAAAACACACCAGCCUCCUUCACCCACCUCACUCACUCACAUGGCACAUUAUUUCAGUCUGAUUUUUCAUUCUGCUGUUGAAAAAUGGACUUUAUUUCCAUCUCAUUAACAUGGGUAGCUGUUCAGGUUGUAGCCAGACUGAAGCCAAUCUCAGCCAUGAAUAAAAUCAAGGAACGUCCAUGGAUUUAAAGUGAUUUUACAUCCCAGAACAGAUACUGUUGUUGGUCUUUACCUCCUCUACGGUGACAUUUCUCCCCUAAAAGUAUGUUCAUACAGUACAUGAGCCAGGUUAGGAUGAGCUUAUUCCUGAUUGGUGGACAACUCAUGGUGUGCACCUGAAAAGGACCCCUGCCAUGUGGGUGUUCUUGACGCUGGCACCGUGUGGCCUUUGCUUUUGUUAACAUAGAGACUUUGUAACACCUUCAGCCUGAAUGUUUUCAGAUGGUAUAGUGGUCUUUAUACUAUGAGACUACCUGUUUAACAUUCUGAGAAGGUCUACAUGAAGUAGGGAUUGACCUGUCCAAGCAGAACUUGAAGCAAAUGUGUACAUGUCUCCUAAAGAAGAGUUUGGGUGGGUACAGUUUCCUUAUACUUCCUUGUGUUAUUAUAGCUGAGAGUGAGGAAAAAUAACUGUAUUUUUCUUUUGAGUUUUGCUUCAGUGUUGUUGGUCAGUAAGCUCUAUGGUUAUGUUUGAAGCAGUUAAGUCUGGAGUGGGC
Pygocentrus nattereri (red-bellied piranha) is the source of this 1694-nucleotide long non-coding RNA. The record is from Ensembl. NCBI's taxonomy places the organism in Eukaryota, Metazoa, Chordata, Actinopteri, Characiformes, Serrasalmidae.